GAGAUUCCCUGCUUACCUGAGGAUCUUACAGGCCUUCUUGUCUUUGGACCACCCAGCUCACAUCCGUGCUGAAGCUUCUCAAAUACUUACUCUCCUGGUGGAGCAGCUGUUACAUGAGGUGUUCUGUGAUUCCUAUGGCAACGUAAGCUACUGAGAAAAACAAGAGCCCUGAAGAAAGGAUCCAUUUCAAGAGGUUGAAAAUGGAAACUAAUGACUCAAGCAUCAAGAGGGAUGGCCAAGGCAGAAAAAAUUGACAACAGUCAGCAAAGCUGUAUCGUAAAAAAGAUGAAGGAACAUAAAAGAAUAAAGGGAAAACUUAACAUUUAUAUAUUUGAUAGGAACAAGACCCAAUGAUAAUGAUUUUUUUUUAACGGUCCUGCAUGUGUAUACAUGAGCUAUCUGUACCAACAAACUGGCAAAUAGUAAAUACAAUCAAUUUUAAAGGACUGAAGGUGACUGAAGGAGGCCUCACUGUUUCCUGGCCUCCAGGCAAUGCAUUUUUAAAAUAGAAAUUGUUUCCUACUGCUCUUUCACAAGG
Molecule: long non-coding RNA, 538 nt
Filed under: Gallus gallus (chicken)
Lineage: Eukaryota; Metazoa; Chordata; Aves; Galliformes; Phasianidae
Description: lncRNA (ENSGALG00010025729.1)
Source: RNAcentral